Long non-coding RNA from Helianthus annuus (common sunflower), 690 nucleotides. RefSeq lists it as uncharacterized. Lineage: Eukaryota; Viridiplantae; Streptophyta; Magnoliopsida; Asterales; Asteraceae. The record is from RefSeq and is a predicted model, not a curated record. The transcript is spliced from 6 exons.
CUGGGCCCUAAUUUCCAGUCGCUAUUUGCCAUUGUCGCGACUGUUCCAUCAACGUCUCCAUUUUCAGCGCCGCUUGUUUGCGAUUGCAGCCUGCUCUAAUACAGUAACUUUAGGGCAAGAUGAGAUAUCCGAUUCAGUGUCCAUCCAUCAAUCCACUCAGGGUAGACAUUGAUUUCACUCUUGUCCGAGGAUUGGAUCAUAACAUGUUGCUUGUUCAUGGGGUAUCUCUCAGAUGUGUACGUACACGGAAACACUAUGCGACGUGGCGUACUAUUCCAUGCAUCUUAUGCCAUGAACACAAGAACUAACCUGGAAGUAAUCUACCAUCCUAGGAUGUGUGCUUCUGCUUUUAUAGUUCCCUAUGAUAAGGUCAUGGAAGCACUUAACGUUAAUUAUUCUCCCGGAAUGUGUUUUGAAAUGCUUGUUGAUGAAGGAGAAGACCCUGAACAUAUACGGAAUAAGUUGUUACUUCUUGCUUUUAGAUUUGAGUAGAGAUGGCAAUAGCGUGGAUGGUGCCAUAGUCACUGAUUAAAGCUUUGAGACUAUGUUUUCUCAAAAUUAAAGUUUAUUCUAUUGAGAUUUUGCUUUCUUACCUAUACGAAAGGUAUGUCUGGAAAGCAGAAUCAAAAUGCAAGCAAAAGGAAGAGAUCCAAGACUAUUACGAAGAUGAUGAUACACCAUCCUGGUCGA